UUGGCAGCCAUGGAGACUAAAGUCCAUUAUUUCCCCAAAGAACAGACACAAGACAGGCAUCGGUAAUGCAAGCUUCCCUGACACUGUUCCCAAAAUAAUCCUCAACUCCUGAUCUGAAGGGGUCAUCUCAAAUGGGGAGAGGGAAAUUCAGAUUCCAUGGUCCAUUCACCCUCUCUGCUAAG
RNAcentral lists this small RNA (182 nucleotides) under Gopherus agassizii (Agassiz's desert tortoise). RNAcentral describes it as "TUC338 (ENSGAGG00000010218.1)". The record is from RNAcentral. Lineage: Eukaryota; Metazoa; Chordata; Testudines; Testudinidae.